GGAAAGAAGGGGGAGGGGGCGGCGGGAAGAGGUGGGUGGCUGGCGGUGAUGGGAAUGACUGGGUUGAAGGUGUGCGCCGGCGGCCGCGCAAGUCGAGUGUGAAAGCCCCGGGGUUAACUUGGGAAUUGCGCUCGAAACGACGUGGCUGGAGUGUGGCAGAGGAAGGUGGAAUUCCACGUGUAGCGGUGAAAUGCGUAGAGAUGUGGAGGAACACCGAUGGCGAAGGCAGCCUUCUGGGCGAACACUGAUGCUCAUGCACGAAAGCGUGGGGAGCAAACAGGAUUAGAUACCCUGGUAGUC
RNAcentral lists this ribosomal RNA (300 nucleotides) under uncultured Kitasatospora sp. Its description in RNAcentral is "bacterial SSU rRNA". The stretch from base 52 to 300 matches the Rfam family "Bacterial small subunit ribosomal RNA", at positions 547 to 795 of the family's 1533-position model. Lineage: Bacteria; Bacillati; Actinomycetota; Actinomycetes; Kitasatosporales; Streptomycetaceae. The record is from RNAcentral.